CCUACGGGUGGCAGCAGUGAGGAAUAUUGGUCAAUGGGCGGAAGCCUGAACCAGCCAAGUCGCGUGAGGGAAUAAGGCCCUACGGGUCGUAAACCUCUUUUGCCGGGGAGCAAGGGCCGGGACGAGUCCCGGUCCGGAGAGUACCCGGAGAAAAAGCAUCGGCUAACUCCGUGCCAGCAGCCGCGGUAAUACGGGGGAUGCGAGCGUUAUCCGGAUUGAUUGGGUUUAAGGGGUGCGUAGGCGAGCUUUUAAGUCAGCGGUAAAAAUGCGGGGCUCAACCCCGUCCGGCAUGUGAAACUGGGUGACUUGAGUGGGCGAGAAGAAGGCGGAAUGCGUGGUGUAGCGGUGAAAUGCAUAGAUAUCACGCAGAACCCCGAUUGCGAAGGCAGCCUUCCGGCGCCCUACUGACGCUGAGGCACGAAAGUGCGGGGAUCGAACAGGAUUAGAUACCCCGGUAGUC
RNAcentral lists this ribosomal RNA (460 nucleotides) under uncultured bacterium. Its description in RNAcentral is "partial 16S ribosomal RNA". It matches the Rfam family "Bacterial small subunit ribosomal RNA", at positions 338 to 795 of the family's 1533-position model. The record is from RNAcentral.